RNAcentral lists this ribosomal RNA (253 nucleotides) under uncultured bacterium. RNAcentral describes it as "partial 16S ribosomal RNA". It matches the Rfam family "Bacterial small subunit ribosomal RNA", at positions 524 to 776 of the family's 1533-position model. The record is from RNAcentral.
UACGUAGGGUGCAAGCGUUGUCCGGAAUUAUUGGGCGUAAAGGGCUCGUAGGCGGUUUGUCGCGUCGGGAGUGAAAUCCACUGGCUUAACUGGUGGCUUGCUUUCGAUACGGGCAGACUGGAGGUAUGCAGGGGAGAACGGAAUUCCUGGUGUAGCGGUGAAAUGCGCAGAUAUCAGGAGGAACACCGGUGGCGAAGGCGGUUCUCUGGGCAUGUUCUGACGCUGAGGAGCGAAAGUGUGGGAGGCGAACAGG